Molecule: ribosomal RNA, 327 nt
Filed under: Triticum aestivum (bread wheat)
Lineage: Eukaryota; Viridiplantae; Streptophyta; Magnoliopsida; Poales; Poaceae
Description: partial small subunit ribosomal RNA
Source: RNAcentral
AUGUGGAACCCGCUGCGCACGCUGCCUCCUCCCUCCCCGCCGCCGCGCCGCCUCCUUCCUCCCCUGCCCGCUCGCCGCCGCCCACGGCCGGCCCCAACCAAGCGCUGCCGCCCGCCGCGCCCGCCGCCCCCAACCACCGGCCGCCAUGCAACUCUCUCCUCCGGCCGUCGUGCGCCUCCCAACCCCGGCCGUCGCGCGCCUCCUACCCCGGUCGUCGCGCGCCUCCGACCCCACCCGUCGCUCGCCUCCGACCCCUGGCCGCCGCGCGCCUCCCUCCACCCGGCUCCCUGUGCAGCUAUGGAAUCCGUCCUGGCUGAUCUGCUCUAG